RNAcentral lists this ribosomal RNA (497 nucleotides) under uncultured bacterium. Its description in RNAcentral is "partial 16S ribosomal RNA". It matches the Rfam family "Bacterial small subunit ribosomal RNA", at positions 28 to 507 of the family's 1533-position model. The record is from RNAcentral.
GAUGAACGCUGGCGGCGUGCCUAAUACAUGCAAGUCGAGCGAACAGACGAGGAGCUUGCUCCUCUGACGUUAGCGGCGGACGUGUGAGUAACACGUGUAUAACCUCCCUAUAAUACUGGUAUAUCUUCGGGAAACCGGAGCUUAUACCGGAUAAUAUAUUGCACCGCAUGGUUCAUUAGUUAAAUACGGUUUUUCUGUCUCUUAUAGAUGGUUCCGGGCCGCAUUAGCUAGUUGGUAAGGUAACGGCUUAUCAAGGCAACGAUGCGUAGCCGACCUGAGAGGGUGAUCGGCAACACUGGAACUGAGACACGGACCAGAGGCCUACGGGAGGCAGCAGUAGGGAAUGGGCCGCAAUGGGCGAAAGCCUGACGGAGCAAGGCGGCGUGAGAGAUGAAGGUGUUGGGAUCGGAAAACUGGGUUAUGAGGGAAGAACAAAUGUGGAAGUAAAUAUGCACGGCGUGACGGUAACUAAUAAGAAAGCCACGGCUAACUACGUG